AAAAACAUAGCUCUUUGAAUAUUUAAAGGGUCCCGCCUGCCCAGUGGCUUAAAGCUAAACGGCCGCGGUAUCUUGACCGUGCAAAGGUAGCAUAAUCACUUGUCUUUUAAAUGGAGACUUGUAUGAACGGCGAAACCUUUUUCAACUGUCUCUCCUCCCACCCUUCAAAAUUUCUUUCCGUGUGAAGAAGCACAGAUAUACCAGAAAGACGAGAAGACCCUGUCGAGCUUUAACCAUUAAGUGAACACUCCUAUUUACUUAGAUAUCACCUAAAGGUUUUGGUUGGGGCAACCGUGGAGAAAAAAAAUCCUCCAGGAUAAAUAGAAGAAAACCCUUCACUAAUUAUCAACACUUUAAGAACCAGGAACUGGUAUUCGGAAAAAGUUACCGCAGGGAUAACAGCGUUAUCUCCUCUGAGAGUCCUUAUUGACGAGGAGGCUUGCGACCUCGAUGUUGGAUUGGGGCCCCCUUAGGGUGCAGAAGCUCUAAACGGUUAGACUGUUCGUCUAUUAAAGCCCUACGUGAUCUGAGUU
This 533-nucleotide ribosomal RNA is filed under the name Holothuria edulis. RNAcentral describes it as "partial 16S ribosomal RNA". It matches the Rfam family "Bacterial large subunit ribosomal RNA", at positions 1809 to 2611 of the family's 2925-position model. The record is from RNAcentral. Lineage: Eukaryota; Metazoa; Echinodermata; Holothuroidea; Aspidochirotida; Holothuriidae.